Long non-coding RNA from Herpailurus yagouaroundi (jaguarundi), 1346 nucleotides. RefSeq lists it as uncharacterized. The transcript is spliced from 4 exons. The record is from RefSeq and is a predicted model, not a curated record. NCBI's taxonomy places the organism in Eukaryota, Metazoa, Chordata, Mammalia, Carnivora, Felidae.
CCUCGCUCUCGUCCGGCUCCACCUCCAGCCACAGAGCUCAUCCUCGAUCCCUUCCGCUCACCCGGACCCCCAGGCUCCGGGAGCCCUCCAAGAAGUGGCCGAAGAGAGGGUUCUUGUAGAAAACGAGAAUUAUAAACCCCCUUUUCUGUAACCUUAGCCACUAAACAUAGCCAAAGUCAGAGGUUACAAAGCGUCGGUUAACGCUUCAAAUAGGAAACGGUGAGAGAACGGAAGACUGUUGACCGAGGCUGAAAACCCAAAGGUCUGAAUCACCUAUUACAUCUUGUUAAAAAAUGCACCCUUCACCCUUCUUGUUCGAGGUUGCCCCGAAUGGACUAAAUCAAUGAAAAUCACAGCUUUUAUUGAGGAAGCCCUCUCUGCAUAACUGCUCUCUCCUCUCAACCUUUUGGACUUAGAGGUGGUCACAAUAAAGCUAGGAUGAAUAAGAAUCCCAGUCAAAGAGGGAGAGAGAUGGCUUCCAAACAGGAGGCAGGACACCAUGUGUGCCACACAGCAGUAAGUACAUCAGUCCUGCUAAGGGCAGCCACUUAUGAUAUCUGAGAAUGGGAUUACCCAACUCUAAGUGGCCAUUUGAGAAAUCUGUGUCUCAUCAGGUGACCCAGCUGCCUCCCACUCCUUGUGUCUCAAUCUAAACACUGAGUGACCACUGACAUGCUCCAACUCCCGGGCUGUAGUGUCUUUGUGGAGAUGGUAAAUAGACCUGAAUAGCUUAUAGGAGGCCCCUCCCUUCUCAAAGAUGGGAGGGGUCUCUGCCUCAGUUUCCCCUUCUAGACAGCAGAGGGCUCUGGCUGUCCCCCACUGAUAUCAUUAUGGAACCCCAGCUGGGGUCCCUAUUCAGUGCUGACUCCCCCCUCCUAGCAGCUGCUCUUCCAAACACACCCCUCCUCCUGCUGCCCCAGCCCUUGACACUGGCUGGCCUUCCCCCCCCCCACACAGGCCACGAGAUGGGCUCCUGAGACCCUCCCCCAGCAAAGGGCUACCUGCAGCUCAUUCUGGAGAGAGAGAGCAGGCAAAAACUUGGACUGGCAGAUAGAGGCCUGGGGAGUCAGAGUGCCUCAGUUUCCUCCUCAAUAGCAACUGAGUAUUUAUAGUAUCUGAAAGCAGGCUUGAUACUUGAUGGCACAAAUGUAGACUUCAUCUCUUUUCCCGCUUCCUGCAGGAAGCAGGAUGGGGGCAGGUAGCACCUGGUAGGCAGGAUGGUUUGCCCCUCCCUCCUCCAUCCCUUCUGGAAGUUUUGGGUCCUUAGUGCCUGCAACAGCCAGCCUUGGGCAAAUAAAAGACUAAGUUGUUUACUAAAAAAACAAAAAAAAAAACAAACAAAAAAA